AGGCAGUGUAGUUAGCUGAUUGUGUUAACAUAAAACUUGCAAUCACUAGCUAAACUACCAGU
RNAcentral lists this microRNA precursor (62 nucleotides) under Xenopus laevis (African clawed frog). RNAcentral describes it as "Xla-Mir-34-P2a2b_pre stem-loop". Lineage: Eukaryota; Metazoa; Chordata; Amphibia; Anura; Pipidae. The record is from RNAcentral.